AUUGAACGCUGGCGGCAGGCCUAACACAUGCAAGUCGAGCGGAUGAAGGGAGCUUGCUCCUGGAUUCAGCGGCGGACGGGUGAGUAAUGCCUAGGAAUCUGCCUGGUAGUGGGGGAUAACGUCCGGAAACGGGCGCUAAUACCGCAUACGUCCUGAGGGAGAAAGUGGGGGAUCUUCGGACCUCACGCUAUCAGAUGAGCCUAGGUCGGAUUAGCUAGUUGGUGGGGUAAAGGCCUACCGAGGCGACGAUCCGUAACUGGUCUGAGAGGAUGAUCAGUCACACUGGAACUGAGACACGGUCCAGACUCCUACGGGAGGCAGCAGUGGGGAAUAUUGGACAAUGGGCGAAAGCCUGAUCCAGCCAUGCCGCGUGUGUGAAGAAGGUCUUCGGAUUGUAAAGCACUUUAAGUUGGGAGGAAGGGCAGUAAGUUAAUACCUUGCUGUUUUGACGUUACCAACGGAAUAAGCACCGGCUAACUUCGUG
This 484-nucleotide ribosomal RNA is filed under the name uncultured bacterium. Its description in RNAcentral is "partial 16S ribosomal RNA". It matches the Rfam family "Bacterial small subunit ribosomal RNA", at positions 30 to 507 of the family's 1533-position model. The record is from RNAcentral.